Molecule: ribosomal RNA, 253 nt
Filed under: uncultured bacterium
Lineage: Bacteria
Description: partial 16S ribosomal RNA
Rfam family: Bacterial small subunit ribosomal RNA
Source: RNAcentral
UACAGAGGUCCCGAGCGUUGUUCGGAUUCACUGGGCGUAAAGGGUGCGUAGGUGGUGAGGAAAGUCGGAUGUGAAAUCUCCAAGCUCAACUUGGAAAUGGCAUUGGAAACUACCUUGCUAGAGGUUUGGAGGGGGGACUGGAAUACUUGGUGUAGCAGUGAAAUGCGUAGAUAUCAAGUGGAACACCAGUGGCGAAGGCGAGUCCCUGGACAACACCUGACACUGAGGCACGAAAGCUAGGGGAGCAAACAGG